GGGCGCUGUGUGGUGGCUGAGCAGCAGGGGAGUCAGGCCCUCCCAGAGACCGAUCGAGCCUUCCUAGAGCUCGUGGAAGGCUCAGGACCCCACGGGUCUUGCCAGGUCAGGAGCUCUAGUGUGGCUCAGGUGGGCCCACACCCUCAGGCCGAGGUGGGCACAGGUGCGGCCGGGAAGCUGCCGGGGCCUUGUGGAGAGCGUCGGACACAGGCAGAGCCACUCCUGCACCCACACAACGUACUGUUUUUGACCACACACCUGGGGCAGGGGCCUAGACCCGUCCAGGACUCACCGGGGGCUGCCCCACCGCGUCUCCAGAACCUCCCCAAGAGCCAAGCCCAGAUCCCACCUCCUGUCAACCCAGGUGUACCACGCCCAUGAGGCAAUCACCUCCCAGAGGCGGCUUGUGAGUGCGUGAGGCUGUGCGGACAGAGCAGGCGGGGCGUGCAGUGACACCGAGCGGCCACCGGAGGGCAGCAGAGCCCUGUGCUGAGAUCACGCGCUGAGGUUGCCAGGGGCCCCAGCUCUGCC
RNAcentral lists this long non-coding RNA (531 nucleotides) under Heterocephalus glaber (naked mole-rat). RNAcentral describes it as "lncRNA (ENSHGLG00000033954.1)". The record is from RNAcentral. Lineage: Eukaryota; Metazoa; Chordata; Mammalia; Rodentia; Bathyergidae.